AACGAACGCUGGCGGCGCGCCUAAUACAUGCAAGUCGAGCGAGAAGGUGUAGCAAUACACUUGUAAAGCGGCGAACGGGUGAGGAAUGCAUGGGUAACCUACCCUCGAGUGGGGAAUAACUAGCCGAAAGGUUAGCUAAUACCGCAUACGUUUCCGGAACUUCGGUUUCGGAAAGAAAGCAAUACCGUGGGUAUUGCGCUCCUGGAUGGGCUCAUGUCCUAUCAGCUUGUUGGUGAGGUAACGGCUCACCAAGGCUUCGACGGGUAGCUGGUCUGAGAGGACGAUCAGCCACACUGGCACUGCGACACGGGCCAGACUCCUACGGGAGGCAGCAGUAAGGAAUAUUGCGCAAUGGACGAAAGUCUGACGCAGCGACGCCGCGUGGGGGAUGAAGGUCUUCGGAUUGUAAACCCCUUUCGGGAGGGAAGAUGGAGUGGGGUAACCACUUGGACGGUACCUCCAGAAGCAGCCACGGCUAACUUCGUGCCAGCAGCCGCGGUAAU
Molecule: ribosomal RNA, 503 nt
Filed under: uncultured bacterium
Lineage: Bacteria
Description: bacterial SSU rRNA
Rfam family: Bacterial small subunit ribosomal RNA
Source: RNAcentral